This is a long non-coding RNA of Triticum dicoccoides, 473 nucleotides long. RefSeq lists it as uncharacterized. NCBI's taxonomy places the organism in Eukaryota, Viridiplantae, Streptophyta, Magnoliopsida, Poales, Poaceae. The transcript has 2 exons. The record is from RefSeq and is a predicted model, not a curated record.
UCAAACUCUACUGCAUGUAGGCACCUGCUGAUGCUGACUUCGACCGCUUCGGCUUCGGCCCAGAGUUUCGCCGGGCACUGGACAAGAUUGUAGAGAAACACAGGAAGAGGCGCAGGGAUGAGGCCUUGGCCUGUGGUGCUGGCUUCAGUCUUGGAGCACUCACCUUUUUGCUUGGGGUCCAUAGGCUCGGUUGAAGGGAGAUGGCUCAAUGGUGAAUGACUGGAAUAUCUAUCCUGCACCGCAUGUUCUACUAUCUACUACUGCACCCGCAAGUUCUACUAUCUACUAGUGCUAUAUCCUGCACCGCAAGUUCUACUAUCUACUAGUACUCUAUAUAUCAUGCAUGUUUUAACUAGCCGGUGUACUCUGUAAUUCCUGGCUUGUGUGUUAUGUAAGAUCACUACUGUAUGUACAAUGGGGAUCCAGGUUCUGUGGGAUCUAAUUUCGGUGGUUGCAUGUGGGAUGUAAGGGCA